Long non-coding RNA from Lates calcarifer (barramundi perch), 229 nucleotides. RefSeq lists it as uncharacterized. Lineage: Eukaryota; Metazoa; Chordata; Actinopteri; Centropomidae. The transcript has 3 exons. The record is from RefSeq and is a predicted model, not a curated record.
GGGUCGCACCCGGCUUUCCUUGGAGGAACGUCAGCGUCGUAUGGAUGAGGGUUGUUGCAUCUACUGUGCACAGAUGGGUCACUUCCUCGCCAAUUGUCCCAUCCGUCGUGGUGGGGCCUCUAGAAGUCGUGAGAGCCUGAUGAACCCCUCGAGGCAAGUGCCCUAGAUGGACGCCAUCUUUUCCAAGACUUCCUUGGCUCAAGACUCACAACCCCCAUAUUGACUGGUC